This 1147-nucleotide long non-coding RNA is filed under the name Bemisia tabaci. RNAcentral's name for it is "lncRNA ENSSSA2NGG001208". Lineage: Eukaryota; Metazoa; Arthropoda; Insecta; Hemiptera; Aleyrodidae. The record is from RNAcentral.
AAACAAAAAGCAAACGGCUCGAGCACCUUUGAGCGUCGUAUGAACGUGUACUCGGCAUCUGAUCGGGUAAUGCUGAACCUUUGGGAUGGAAUGAAUAUAACAAAAAGGAUCUCCGGAGUUCCACCAUGUGGAGCUGCGUUGAUCAUUGAGCUGCAUGAAAUCGACUCUGAAUACCGAAUCAAAAUCUUGUACAAAAAUGGAGAUUUAAAUGAAAAUUUGGAAGUAUUAAAAAUAGGCAGUUGUCAACGUACUCAGAUUUCAUCAAAAGACGAAAUGUGCGACCUCAAAGAGAUUUCGGAAGCUCUAGAACCUGCCAUCAUCACUGACUUCGAUGAGGCUUGUGAGAACUCAAAAUAGCAAAUAUAUGUAUAUAAGUCGCUUUUAUGAUAAAACGUGGCAAAUAUUUCAACCUUUACCUUUUUACCUUUUUUACCUUUUUCAAGCGAUGGCAUCGAUAUUAAUCUCAAUGAGCUGUAGUUAUGUGUUGAAAGAAACUUCACAAAAAUGAGUAAAGGAGAAAAAAAUCAAGAAGCACGCAAUCUUUUGUUUUGACCCAUUUAUGCAUCGAUCUUUUAGAGUCAAAUACGUCCAAUUUCAAGCGUUUGGUUGCGCGUACACCACGCUGCAGCACAGUAAAAGCACAAAAUAUAAAAGAAAAAUUCAAGUGCCUUGAAAAUCAUUAAAUUUGACGUGGAACCUCUCUAAUAUUUACAAGAUACGCAUUAUAUUCUCCUUCAAUACAUAUUUUUCCCCAUAAAUUUAAAUGAGAAUAACCCAUCCAGAGUGUGCAAAAAUUUCAGAAUCACGAGUUGAAAAACACUGACUUAGCGAGUUUAAAUAUUAGAGCCCAACACAGAGCGGCGCAGGGCGCUGCCAGCAAGAAACGAGCACUGGCGCCUACAAACCUAACAGGGAUACUUCACGCAUUGCGCCAUGCGUGAAGUAUCCCUGUUAGGUUUGUAGGCGCCAAUGCGCGUGUCGCGCUGGUCGCCCUCGCCCGCCGCGCCACGGCGCGGCGCGCGGCGCAUCAAGCAACUGUUUCACAACAGAGGUGUUGCAUAAUAUCAUACGAAAUUGAAGACGCUCUAACAUAUUAAGAAUGACAGGCAUCCUGUUAGAGCACGGAGCUUUCCUCGCAAAAUAAAUC